AUUGAACGCUGGCGGCAUGCCUUACACAUGCAAGUCGAACGGCAGCACGGGAGCAAUCCUGGUGGCGAGUGGCGAACGGGUGAGUAAUAUAUCGGAACGUGCCCGGUCGUGGGGAUAACGUAGCGAAAGCUACGCUAAUACCGCAUACGAUCUACGGAUGAAAGCGGGGGAUCGCAAGACCUCGCGCGAUUGGAGCGGCCGAUAUCAGAUUAGGUAGUUGGUGAGGUAAAGGCUCACCAAGCCGACGAUCUGUAGCUGGUCUGAGAGGACGACCAGCCACACUGGGACUGAGACACGGCCCAGACUCCUACGGGAGGCAGCA
Molecule: ribosomal RNA, 322 nt
Filed under: uncultured bacterium
Lineage: Bacteria
Description: bacterial SSU rRNA
Rfam family: Bacterial small subunit ribosomal RNA
Source: RNAcentral